Molecule: ribosomal RNA, 445 nt
Filed under: uncultured bacterium
Lineage: Bacteria
Description: bacterial SSU rRNA
Rfam family: Bacterial small subunit ribosomal RNA
Source: RNAcentral
CUCGACUCCUACGGGAGGCAGCAGUGGGGAAUAUUGGACAAUGGGGGCAACCCUGAUCCAGCCAUGCCGCGUGAGUGAUGAAGGCCCUAGGGUUGUAAAGCUCUUUUGUGCGGGAAGAUAAUGACGGUACCGCAAGAAUAAGCCCCGGCUAACUUCGUGCCAGCAGCCGCGGUAAUACGAAGGGGGCUAGCGUUGCUCGGAAUCACUGGGCGUAAAGGGUGCGUAGGCGGACUUUUAAGUCAGGGGUGAAAUCCUGGAGCUCAACUCCAGAACUGCCUUUGAUACUGGAAGUCUUGAGUUCGGGAGAGGUGAGUGGAACUGCGAGUGUAGAGGUGAAAUUCGUAGAUAUUCGCAAGAACACCAGUGGCGAAGGCGGCUCACUGGCCCGAUACUGACGCUGAGGCACGAAAGCGUGGGGAGCAAACAGGAUUAGAUACCCUGGUAG